AUUGAACGCUGGCGGCAGGCUUAACACAUGCAAGUCGAGCGGAGCGGCGGACGGGUGAGGAAUGCUUAGGAAUCUGCCUGUUAGUGGGGGACAACAUCUCGAAAGGGAAGCUAAUACCGCAUACUAAUAGUUGAGCCUAAGUCGGAUUGGCUAGUAGGUGGGGUAACGGCUCACCUAGGCGACGAUCCCUAGCCGGUCUGAGAGGAUGACCAGCCACACUGGGACUGAGACACGGUCCAGACUCCUACGGGAUGCAGCAGUGGGGAAUAUUGGACAAUGGGCGCAAGCCUGAUGCAGACAUGCCGCGGGUGUGAAGAAGGCCUUCGGGUUGUAAAGCACUUUCAGCGGGGAGGCGUUACCCGCAGAAGAAGCACCGGCUAACUCCGUGCCAGCAGCCGCGGUAAUUC
This 407-nucleotide ribosomal RNA is filed under the name uncultured bacterium. RNAcentral's name for it is "partial 16S ribosomal RNA". It matches the Rfam family "Bacterial small subunit ribosomal RNA", at positions 30 to 526 of the family's 1533-position model. The record is from RNAcentral.